RNAcentral lists this ribosomal RNA (497 nucleotides) under uncultured bacterium. RNAcentral describes it as "partial 16S ribosomal RNA". It matches the Rfam family "Bacterial small subunit ribosomal RNA", at positions 28 to 507 of the family's 1533-position model. The record is from RNAcentral.
GAUGAACGCUGGCGGCGUGCCUAAUACAUGCGAGUCGAGCGAACGGACGAGAAGCUUGCUUUUCUGAUGUUAGCGGCGGACGGGUGAGUAACACGUGGAUAACCUACCUAUAAGACUGGGAUAACUUCGGGAAACCGGAGCUAAUACCGGAUAAUAUUUUGAACCGCAUGGUUCAAAAGUGAAAGACGGUCUUGCUGUCACUUAUAGAUGGAUCCGCGCUGCAUUAGCUAGUUGGUAAGGUAACGGCUUACCAAGGCAACGAUGCAUAGCCGACCUGAGAGGGUGAUCGGCCACACUGGAACUGAGACAUGGUCCAGACUCCUACGGGAGGCAGCAGUAGGGAAUCUUCCGCAAUGGGCGAAAGCCUGACGGAGCAACGCCGCGUGAGUGAUGAAGGUCUUCGGAUCGUAAAACUCUGUUAUUAGGGAAGAACAUAUGUGUAAGUAACUGUGCACAUCUUGACGGUACCUAAUCAGAAAGCCACGGCUAACUACGUG